This 468-nucleotide ribosomal RNA is filed under the name uncultured bacterium. Its description in RNAcentral is "partial 16S ribosomal RNA". It matches the Rfam family "Bacterial small subunit ribosomal RNA", at positions 28 to 507 of the family's 1533-position model. The record is from RNAcentral.
GACGAACGCUGGCGGCGUGCUUAACACAUGCAAGUCGAACGGAAAGGCCCUGCUUUUGUGGGGUUCUCGAGUGGCGAACGGGUGAGUAACACGUGAGUAACCUGCCCUUGACUUUGGGAUAACUUCAGGAAACUGGGGCUAAUACCGGAUAUGAGCUUCUGCUGCAUGUGGGGGGUUGGUAAGUUUCGGCGGUUGGGGAUGGACUCGCGGCUUAUCAGCUUGUUGGUGGGGUAGUGGAUUACCAAGGCUUUGACGGGUAGCCGGCCUGAGAGGGUGACCGGCGACAUUGGGACUGAGAUACGGCCCAGACUACUACGGGAGGCAGCAGUGGGGAAUAUUGCACAAUGGGCGGAAGCCUGAUGCAGAAACGCCGCGUGCGGGAUGACGGCCUUCGGGUUGUAAACCGCUUUCGCCUGUGACGAAGAGUGAGUGACGGUAAUGAGUAAAGAAGCACCGGCUAACUACGUG